AACUGAGUAGUUUAGUUUAUGUAAAACGUUUGAUUGUUAAUCAUACAAAGGGUUUUCCCCUCAGUUA
Molecule: transfer RNA, 67 nt
Filed under: Bathymodiolus manusensis
Lineage: Eukaryota; Metazoa; Mollusca; Bivalvia; Mytilida; Modiolidae
Description: tRNA-Asn
Rfam family: tRNA
About the family: Transfer RNA (tRNA) molecules are approximately 80 nucleotides in length. Their secondary structure includes four short double-helical elements and three loops (D, anti-codon, and T loops).
Source: RNAcentral